Molecule: ribosomal RNA, 253 nt
Filed under: uncultured bacterium
Lineage: Bacteria
Description: partial 16S ribosomal RNA
Rfam family: Bacterial small subunit ribosomal RNA
Source: RNAcentral
GACAGAGGGUGCAAACGUUGUUCGGAAUUACUGGGCGUAAAGCGUGUGUAGGUGGCUAAGUAAGUCGGAUGUGAAAGCCCCGGGCUCAACCCGGGAAGUGCACUCGAUACUGCAUAGCUUGAGUACUGGAGAGGUUGGUGGAAUUCUCGGUGUAGAGGUGAAAUUCGUAGAUAUCGAGAGGAACACCUGUGGCGAAGGCGGCCAACUGGACAGAUACUGACACCGAGACACGAAAGCGUGGGGAGCAAACAGG